AGGGUUUGAUUCUGGCUCAGGAUAAACGCUAGCGGCAGGCCUAACACAUGCAAGUCGAGGGGCAGCAGGGAAGUAGCUUGCUACUUCUGCUGGCGACCGGCGCACGGGUGCGUAACGCGUAUGCAACCUACCUUUAACAGGGGGAUAAUCCGAAGAAAUUUGGUCUAAUACCCCAUAAUAUUGAUUAAGGCAUCUUGAUCAGUUGAAAGUUCCGACGGUUAAAGAUGGGCAUGCGUUGUAUUAGCUAGUUGGUGAGGUAACGGCUCACCAAGGCUACGAUACAUAGGGGGACUGAGAGGUUUUCCCCCCACACUGGUACUGAGACACGGACCAG
Molecule: ribosomal RNA, 334 nt
Filed under: uncultured bacterium
Lineage: Bacteria
Description: bacterial SSU rRNA
Rfam family: Bacterial small subunit ribosomal RNA
Source: RNAcentral